AUGGGAGAACUUAGUUUCUUCCUUGGUCUUCAAAUCAAACAACUCAAGGAUGGCAUCUUCAUAAGUCAAGAAAAAUACACAAGGGAUUUGCUCAAGAAAUUCAAAUUAAAUGAAGGUAAAGUUGCAAAAACUCCUAUGAGCACUACCACUAAGCUUGACAAAGAUGAAAAAGGUAAGUGUGUGGAUAUAAAGACUUAUCGAGGUAUGAUCGGAUCUUUACUUUAUUUGACCGCUAGUAGACCCGAUAUCAUGUUUAGUGUAUGUCUUUGUGCUAGAUUUCAAUCUUGUCCUAAAGAAUCACAUUUCCAUGCUGUUAAAAGGAUACUUAAAUAUUUGCUUGGAACUAUUGAUGUUGGAUUAUGGUAUCCUAGAAAUGUUGAGUUUAAUUUGGUAGGAUAUUCCGAUGCGGACUUUGCCGGUAGUUUACUUGACCGUAAAAGUACUAGUGGGACUUGUCAAUUUCUUGGUAGUUCCUUAGUAUCUUGGUUUAGUAAAAAGCAAAAUUCGGUUGCCUUAUCCACUACCGAAGCGGAAUAUAUUGCGGUUGCUAGUUGUUGUGCACAAAUUCUUUGGAUGAAACAAACUCUUUGUGAUUUUGGAUUAAAAUUUGAUAAUGUGCCUAUAUUUUGUGAUAAUACUAGUGCCAUAAAUUUGACUAAGAAUCCUAUUCAUCAUUCUAGAACUAAGCAUAUAGAUAUUAGGCAUCACUUUAUUAGAGAGCAUGUACAAAAUGGUCAUAUUACUCUUGAGUUUGUAAGUUCCAAUAAUCAAUUAGCGGAUAUAUUUACCAAACCUUUGAGUGAAGAAAGCUUUUGUAAAAAUAGGCUUGAGCUUGGAAUUAUUCGUUGUGAUGCAUCUUGAUUUUAUAUCUUACUUGAUAUUGUUACCCUAAUGCAUAUUGAUAGGGGGAGAAUUAGACAUUUUGUAUGUGUUCAUAUUUUUUUUGGGAGAGCUAACUUCCUUGGUAUUGUUUUUGAUGAUUCCAAAGGGGGAGAAGUAUAAGAAAAAUAUGAUUAAUUAAGGACAAAGAAGGUUCUCUUAUCAAUUGUUUUCAAGUAUGAUCUUUGUGGUGAAAUAUAUACAUGAGCUUUAUGGUUAUACAUCUUGAUAAUAGAAUUACUUGUUGACCAUGUGUGUUUCAAGUUAUUUUUCUUCAAUGAUUUGUCAUCAUCAAAAAGGGGGAGAUUGUUGGCUUUUUGGCCCUUAAUCUCAAAUUAAUUUAUUUUAAUUAUUCAAUUAAUUUAUGUUUUGAUGAUAACAAAUCUGAUUUUUUUUAUUGACAAUUUUAUUAAUUUGAAUAGACCAUAUCGUAGAGCUUGGAAAAAUGAUUCUAACGCCUCUUGAAUCACCCAAAUCGAAGUUCAAAUGAAGAAAAUAUUGCUAAAAGAAGCUUAACGAAAAAAUACCCGAGAUGGUGACGUGGCGACCAAGCAUUCAAUUUGAACCAAUUAGAGAAAGCCACUUGGAGCAAUGAAGAAGUAACAAAUGUGGCUUUUUGUUAUGUUUUAUUGGCUUUUAUAAAGAAAAUGAAUUUAAAAGAAAAAUGAUUUUAAUAUUAUUAUUUUUUAUUGUGUCUAACGGCUAGUUUUUUUUAAAAGAGGGUGAAGUUGUUUUAUUGAUUUCUUUUUAAACAAAAUAUUUUGAAAAGACAUAUUAUUAUAUUAUUAUUUGUAUUGUGUCUAACGGCUAAUUAAGUUUAAAUCUCAACCAUUCAUUUUUCUUUUACUUAUAUCUAAUGACCCAAAUGAUUUUGAGUUUAUCUUUCCUCUCUUUUUAAAUACUUCACAUUUACACAAGAUUACCACAUCUUUACAAUCCUCAAGCAAAAAGCCAACAUUGUUAUUCUCUCUAAAGCUUCCAAUUUUUAUUCUUUUCAUCUUAUUCUUGAGAGCUUCUUAUUGUAUUGUGAGGAUUAAAUUUGUGAGCUUCAAAUUGAUAUAACUCAACUCUUUUUAGAGAGUUUUCUUUUGUGUGAUUUAAAAGAUUUCAACAUAUAGUAACGGUUGGAUCCUAAUCCGUGGAAAGGAUCGGGUUUGCUCUUGAACCCGAAAAAGGAGCAAGAAUCGGUUCGGCUCAAAUCCGUGGAAAGAGUCCAAAGAAGAUUUUCAAUCAAAAUCCCAAGGGGUGCUUGGGAAAGUGGAUGUAGGUUGAGUUUAACCGAACCACUAUAUAAAUUACGGUGUCUUCUUCUCUAACUCUUUUCUAAUUAUUUUUUAAUUUAAUUUUAGUUACAUAUUCUUAUUGGUUGAGUUUGAUUGCAUACUUCCAUUCAUAUCUUUUUAUCAAUCUUGUUAUUUAACAAAGUUUACAAAGUUCUUUAUUUAAAUUUUAGAAAAUAUCUAAUUAGUUGAUUUUACUUUUUAUUUGUCGAAAAGUUUAUUUAAACCCUAUUCACCCCCCUCUAGGGUUGCCAUACCGAUCCAACAUAUAACUGGUAAUCCAUUGAAUAUGAGGAUCACAAUCAGAGCUUCAUAACCUUCCUGAGAGUAAAGGAAGCCCAAGAUAACGAACAUGUAGAUGACUAAUGGUAAAACCCUUACUAGCAGCUAGAUGAGAAGCUUUUGCACUAUUAAACCCCACAACAGCUUUUCCCAAGAUUAGCAAAAAGCCCCGUAACUCACCAAACCUCUGAAUAGUCUCUUUUAUGAAGUUCAUAGAAGACUCAUCAGCAGCACAAAAAAUCAUAAGAUCAUCCACAAAAGUAAGAUGAGUUAAACUGACCUUCUCACAAAACUGGUGGAACUGAAAGUUCUGAGGCAGAUAGUUCAACAUGUGAGAAAGUACCUCCAUGACCAUCACAAAUAAGAACGGAUAUAAUGGAUCACCUUAUCUUAGUCUUUUCCUCCCAUGAAAAAAGCCUUCUAAAGAUCCAUUAAUUAUAAUGGAGAACAUCAGGGAAAUGACACAAGCUUUAAUUCAACUCACAAUGCUCCAAGGAGUGCCAAUAGCUAUCAACAAACUAAAGAAGAAAUCCCAAUUGACAGAAUCAUAGGCUUUUUGUAGAUCAACCUUCAUAGUACACUGUGAUUUUCCUGUGUUUUUAUGGUAUCCCCCAACAAGCUCCUAACAAAUAAGAAUAUUAUCAAUAAUACUCCUCCCUGGAAUGAAAGAAAACUUAUUGCUACUGAUAAACAAAGGUAGCCACCCACGAAGUCUAUCAGCUAAAAUUUUUAGAUACACUUGUAGAUAACAUUACAACAAGAAAUAGGCCUGAAAACUUCCAUACGGUCAACACCAUUCCUCUUAGGAUAAGAGUAAUAGCAGUGGUAUUCACUCCCUAAGGGAGAUAACUAGUCUCAAAGAAAUGUAAACCAGCAUCACAGAAAUCCUCCCCAACCACAGCCCAAGCUCCUUUGAAGAAACCCACCUAAUACCCAUCAGGACCUGGAGUCUUUCCAUUAUCCAUGGAAAAAAGAACUUGUCUCACCUCGUCCCUUCCAAUUGGCACCUGGAGGGUCUGGCAACACUCCUCAGACCUUGGAUAGUGGAGAGCUCUCUGUAACCAAUAUUUUAAACUGAACAAUAUUCUCAAUACAAGCAGAGAGCUCUCUAUAACCAAUAUUCUAAAAACCUAGACUGUUUUUAAAAUAUUUUACUGCCACUUGAGUCACCUCUUCAUGGUUAGUCAACCGAGUACCAUCCAGAUGAACCACAGACCACAAAGUAUUACUGUUUAGGCGAAACUGAAUGGUCCUGUGAAAGAAGGCAGUAUUCUGGUCACCUAAUUUCAGCCACCGUAUUCGAGACUUUUAGCGCAUAGUAGCUUCCUCCACUUAUAACUUUUGUUGAAAUUUUUUGUAGGCUACGAGUCACGAACUUACACUUUAGCAUCCUUAGGUUGUUUUGGUAGUUCGAAUGAUACUUACACACGUUUUGAACACUUUUAAGGUUUUGUUUGACAAAAGGUUUGGUUCACUUACACACUUUUCUUCUUUCCUUAACCUUUUGGGGAGCUUACGAGUUACGAACGUACCCUUAAGCUUAGUUAGGUCACUUUCAAAGCUCAAAUGAUACUUAGACAUGGUUUCAAUACUUCUUAGGUUCGUUUGAGACUGAGUUUGCUGCACUUGCGUACUUUCUAGCACCUUUGGGUCACAGAGUGCUCUUCUCACACUUCCAAACUUUUAGGUAGGUUAUGUGCUGCGAACUUAUAGUUAAGCAAUGUUACGUCGUUCCGAAAGUUCAAGUGAUACUUAAACAUGUUUUGAACACCUUUUGGGUUUGUUGUUGCACUUACACACGUGUUUUCCAAUUUGGGUCAUGAAGUACCCUUUUCCUACUUUUCUGACUUUUUGGUAGGUUAUGAGUGGCGAACGUACACUCGAGCUUUGCCAGGUCAUUCUGAAAGUUCAAGUGAUGCCCAAACACGUUUCGAACACCUCUUGGGUUCAGUUGAGACUAAGUUUGUUGCACUUGCACACUUGGUUGCCAAUUUGGGUCACGAAUUACUUUUUAAAUUCUUUGUUAAAAGUUUUGGUAGGUUAUGGGUUACAAACUUAUGCCGAAGCAUUGUUAGGUCGUUUUAAACACUUUUUAGGUUUGUUUGAAACUAUGUUUGUUGUGCUUACACACUUGGUUGACAUGUUGGGUCAUGUAGUGCUGUUUUUACAGCCUUUAAAAUUUUGGUAGGUUGUGAGUCACGACCUACACUCUUAACCAUUGUUUGGUCUUUUUUAAAAACUUAGACGCGCUUCGAACGGUUUUUUGGAUUUGUUUUUAAAAAAUGCUUGCGCACACACUUGGUCGGCAGUAUAGGACUUCCAGUGCCUUUUUCGCACUUCUUGAACUCUUUGGAAGGCCAUAAGUUACGAACUUAAGCAUUGUUAAUUGGUUUUGAUAGCUCAAGUAAUUCGAUGACAUGUUUUCAAAACUUCUUGGGUUGGUUUGAAACUAUGUUUUGAAAAUUCGAUGACAUGUGGUUUCCAAUUUGGGUCAUGAAGCACCCUAUUCCUACUUUUCUUCUCUUUGGUAGGUUAUGAGUUGUGAACAUACGCUCGAGUGAAGAGAUAGAAGCCCUAUGGCAGCGAAAAAAUUUAAAGAACCGUUACUCAAAUUAAUUUGGAAAUCUUAAAAUACCAGUACAUUGGAAAAAAUUUAGAAUAAAAAAUCUAAAUAAAAACUAAGCAUACUUUAAAUUAAAGAAAACAGAUAACUUACUUUCGAUGACGUCUCUGAAUCUACAAGUCACCGAAUUGGGGACACCACCUGUCGGAGACCUUCCUAUCCUCUGCGAUGAGAUUGGUUUGUGGAACCAAUUGGGAUGAGAAAAUGUUUAGAGAUAUUUGAGAAAGAACCUUUUCUUUUUGCAGAGAGAAAAACCUUUGCUUUUUUCUUAAUGAAUUUCGUUAAAGAAAACUGUUUUUUUUUUCUAGAUAUUUAUAUCUCUCUUUCUUUCCUGGAAUAGGAAAAGAAGUAAGAGAGAAUCAUGAGAUUCUAUUAUCAAAUCUACUGAUUAAUUAACAAUUAAUCAAUUAGUUAAUAAUUAAUUAAAGUCAAUUUAAGCCUAAAGUUUGGAUAUAUGUUUUCUAUUUUGUUCAUUUGCUAACUAUGAUUCUUGGCGAUAUGACCAUUGUGUUAUUUUAGAAACAAAUGUCUGGGGAGAAUGAUUUUAAGUUGUUAUAUAGUUGUUCCACAGGCACAAUUCUUUGGUUUAAAAUCUUCGAAGUUGUUGAUGAAGUGUAAUAACACCAUGAGGAUGACCAUAAAGGGAUAUGCAGCACAGGCUUGCACAACACCUAGUCCUGAAAAUAUUCUCGAGUGGGUAAGAAAAGAUAAGAGGAGAUUGCUUCGUGUUGUCUAUUGUGUUGAAGAUUUGGAGAGGACAAUAAAGUAUGUAUAAUUUCCAUUAGACUAAAAGUUUGUUGCUACAUCUUUUUCUUAUCUUUCAACUUUUCUUUUCUUCCUAAGACAGUUAUUAUACAAAAUAUGUUUAUUGCAGACUCUAUACUGAGUGCCUGGGGAUGAAGUUGUUGCGAAAACAUGACAUACCAGAGGAGAAUAUACAAAUGUUUUUCUUGGAUACGGUCCCGAAGAGGCUCAAUUUAUUAUUGAACUUACUUACCGUAAGUUAUACUUACAAUAUAUAAUGGGAUGUUUUGAAAUAUAGUAAAAUGAGUUAACUUAUUUACAAACGUAGCAAAAUUUUACUUUCUAUUUGUGAUAGACAUAGAUAAAUAUCUAUCAAUUUAUUGAUGUCUAUUCUGAUCCAUCACACUUUAUCACUCAUAGAAAGUAAACUUUUUUUAUAUUUGUAAACAUAUUUUCCAUUAAACAUACUUUCUUAUAUAUAAUUUCAAAACUAUAAACCUUGGGCUUCUUUAGAUGUGGAAAUAUUGAUUCCUCAUCGAAUUGCUUACAUAAACUGAAUUAUAUUAUUUUGGUUGUCUGCUGACCUCAAAUUAUGGAGUUGACAAGUAUGAUAUUGGAGCUGGGUUUGGGCAUUUUGGGGUUGCAGUUGAAGAUGUAAGUCUAUACGUCAUGUUUUUUAUUGUAUGUUCUACACUUUGUUAAGAUUUAAAGGAAUUUUUGAUAUUUUUUAUUGGGUUUUGACAAAUGAACUAAAUCUUUUCAAAUAAAGUAAAUCCCUAGUAUAAAGGAAUCUAAAUAAAUUAGUUCCUUAGAUUGGGAAAGAAGUUGUGUUGUUGGUUUUAAAUAGAGAUAUACAAUGAAAAAAAGGUGUGCAUAGAUGGUGAAGAUAACCUGACUGGAAGUACAACGGAACGUUUAAAAGCAAUUGCAGGAAAGGUAAAGUGGCUUCCAGAAUAUAUAAUUUGAUAUGAUAUACAUAUGACGUAAGGGAGUACAAAACGUUAGUUGAAUCAAUGACUGUAAUUUAACUAUCGGUGAAUAUGGAAUAUGCACUUGAGAAGACGACCUCAGGAUUGAGGAAUCAGUUCUGUAAAUCAGGGGGAGCCUGCCUAAAUUGGGAGAACUUGUUAACAUGAAGAUUGUGCAUGCUGUGUAGACAGUUCUGAUGUCCAAGGGGAGUUCGUACAAGUCUUCAACGGAUGGGGCAUACGAUUCAGGAGAAUCAGAUGUUUAUGUUUAGUUUUGUGAUGACUAUUCUCUGUAAUCCUAGUGACAAGUUAUGCAUUGAACUUCUCAAUAAUAUUCUAUAUCUGAGCAGAUAUGCUCCCCAGAUGUAGGCACUCUUCGCUGAACUGGGUUAACAAAGUGCACUGUAUUUUCCUGUUUAUGUUAUCUAGUUAAACGCUUAGUUAAGUACAACUAAUAUAACUAAAAGGGGAUACAAAGGCAGACAAAGGAAUCUUUCUGGGUUAUUCUUCGAAUAGCAGAGCAUUUAGAGUAUAUAAUCAACGUACCCAAACUGUGAUGGAAUCAAUUAAUGUGGUAAUACAUGAUGAUAUGAGUCCAGGCGUCAAACCACAGGAAGGAGAUGACAUGGUGCUAAUACAAAGCUCAGAUAACACCAGUUGAUGAAACUACUGACUCAUCAACUACAGCUGAUAUUAGUGAGAGUAGUAGUGAUCAGUAGUCCAAUGAAGUGGACCAAAAUGUAGAACGGACAGGACCCCCUUCACCACAUAAUUAAGAAUCAUCCUUCUAACAGUAUCAUUAGUGAUAUUCAAAGUGGAAUCAAUACCAGAAAGAAGGAUCGGAUUGAUUAUGCAAAACUGAUUGCAAAUAUUUGUUACAUCUUCAACAAUUGAACCAAAAACAGUUGCUGAAGCUCUUAAAGAUGAACACUGGAUUCAUGCAAUGCAAGAGGAGUUACUGCAAUUUGAACGAAACAAGGUUUGGAAGUUAGUACCAAAACGAGCCAGCAUGUAAAUGUUAUCGGUACAAAGUGGAUCUUUAAAAAUAUAAAUGAUGAACAGGGUAUAGUAAUUCUGAAUAAAGCACGGUUAGUUGCUCAAGGAUAUACUCAGAUUGAAGGAGUAGAUUUUGAUGAAACGUUUGCUCCAGUAGCCAGAACUGGAAGCUAUUCACCUUUUACUCAGCAUUGCAAUGUAUACAGCGGAUCAAGUUGUAUCAAAUGGAUGUGAAGAGUGCCUUCUUAAAUGGAUAUCUGUAUGAAGAAGUUCAUGUUUCUCAACCUAAAGGGUUUGUUGAUCCAGUUGUUUCCACAGCAUGUUUACAAAUUACACAAGGCAUUGUAUGGGCUCAAACAGACAGCACGAGCUUGGUAUGAACGACUUAGUGAGUACUUGCAAAGACAGGGUUAUGUUCGAAGUAUCACUGACAGAACCUUGUUCAUAAAAUCGAACAAGGUGAAAAUAUCAUUGUAGCUCAGAUUUAUGUGGAUGAUAGUUAUAUUUGGUGGAUUUCCAGAUGAUAAUGUGACAAGUUUUGUUAACAUUAUGAAACCAGAGUUUGAGAUGAGUCUUGGUGGGAGAGUGUGUCCUUCUUUCUUGGGUUACAGAUCAGACAAAAUUAGAACGAGAUUUUUGUAUCCCAAGCAAAAUAUGCUCAUAAACCAUGAUUAAGAAGUUUGGCUUAGAAAAUUCUCAGGAUAAGAGAAAACCAGCUGCUACAGAGAUCAAAUUAAAUAAAAGAUUGUUUAUCUGAAGCAGUUGAUCUUACAAUAUACCGAAGUAUGAUUGGCAGCCUGUAUCUUACUGCUAGCCAUCCGGAUAUUGGCUUAUGUUGUUGGAGUAAUGUGCCCGAUUUCAAUCUGCUACCUCGUCAUACACAGCUACAAGCUGCUAAGCGUAUAAUUAAAUACAUACAAGGUACAGCUGACUAUGGAAUUCACUAUUCUUUUGGUACAACUUCAGCACUAGUUGGUUAAAGUGAUGCAGAUUGGGCAGGAUGUACUGAUGACAAAAAAUCUACUUCUGGUGGAUGUUUCUUUCUACGAAACAACUUGGUUUCUCCUGGUUUAGCAAAAAACAGAACUCUGUGUCACUAUCUACAGCAGAAGUUGAGUAUAUUGGAGCAGGGAGUGUGUGUGCUCAACUUGUCUGGAUGAAACAAAUGCUCAGUGAAUAUGUUCUGCAUCAAGACAGUAUGGUAUUGUAUUGUGAUAAUAUGAGUGCUAUUGACAUCUCAAAGAAUCCAGUUCAACAUAGUCGCCACCAAGCAUAUAGACAGAUCUGUCAUCACUUCAUUCCCAAUUUAGUUGAGGAUAAAAGGGAUUUUCCUUAACACAUGUCAGAACAACUCAGUCAGGUAGCGGAUAUUUUUUACCAAACCACUUGACACUAAUACAUUUGAAUAUUUAAAGGUUGAGUUGGGAGUGUGUCGUGAAGAAAUUUAAAAAAAAAAAAAAAAAAAAAAGGGAAAAGGAAACUGAUAGUGUUAUUUUAGUGUGGGCUGAGAAGAAAAGAAAGAGGUGGGUGUUUGGCCCACGUGCUGAAUACACGGAGGAUCGUGGAUUAAAUUUGGGCGGGAAGAGAUGGAAUAUGAAAAGAAAACAGGCUUAGGUUCUCCCACAUUCUCGACUGGUUUGUUCUGCUCGCUGAAAUUUUUUCGGUUUCUCAUUUGUUCACUAUAGUGAGUACUCGGCGGGGGUACUAUCAAGAAGCUCCAGCAUCUCAUGCUUCUGAGAUUCGCUCUAACAUGCAUGGAGUUCGAAUGAGAGGAAAGCGGGUCAAGAGCAUUCCGUCUCGUCGUCCUUAUUCACGGAUGGCAGAUAGAGGUAAGGUAUCCUAUACUAUGAGUUCCAGUAGUUCUGAGUCAGUACAGGAUGUACCUACUACAAUGGCUGCCAGUGCAUCGUCUGAUUUGCAAGAUCAGAUUCCGCUCACUGAGUUAUUACGGAAAAAGACUCAAUCACGGUCGUCAGUGCCGGAAGGGGUUUCCAAAAGUCCAAAACUAAAUGUGUCAAAAGAAAAAGGGAAAGCCCUAUGUCUGACUCUUCGACGGAUGCUUCCAGUUCGACUUCGGUACCAAUGUCAAAUCGUCAGUCUUUUGGUUCGUCUUCAUCACAUAAGUUGUCUGAUGCACCCACUCAAGUUCCUCCUUCUCCGGCACCUGCACAACCCUAUUCUUCUUCACAGCCUGCCGCUGCACAACCAGCUCCUCCAUCUUCCGCCACUAAGGAAGCAGACAAGACUUCCUCUCCUCCUCCUCAAACCAAGGUACCUGAACCUAGAGGGGUCACAAUCAAGACUGGACGAAGAUGCCUUCCCCGAAAUAUUCCAUCUGUUCCUAUUGAUGGGAUCUCAUUCCAUCAUGAGGAGAAUGCUCAGUGCUGGAGGUUCGUAGUGCAAACGCGUUUGGCUGAUGAGGUGAAUAUAUCAUACAAACAUCAGUCUUGUGUAGCAAUAAUGGAACUAAUUAAUCAGGCUGGACUUUCGCGCACGAUUCUCAAUGUUGGACCAUUCUAUCCCAAGCUCAUCAGAGAGGUCAUUGCUAAUCUAUCGUCUGAUUUUGAUGAUCCAAGCAGUCCAGAUUAUCAAACAAUUCAUGUCAGAGGACGAACACUUGUCAUCUCUCCCUAUGUGAUUAAUACUUUCUUAGGGCUUACUCCGUCGGAGAAUGCUGAUUUACCAACCCACUCAACAGAUACCCUGGCAUCUGUGUUGACAGGAGGGUCUCUUAUAGUUUGGCCACUCACUGGCAUUCCUUCUGCUGCACUCAGUGUCAAGUAUGCCAUUUUGCACAAAAUUGGCAUCGUAAACUGGUUCCCAUCAUCACAUGCCUCUAGUGUUUCUGUAGCUCUGGCUUCAUUUCUCUUCUAAAUUGGUACUCGUGCAUGGGUAAACCCUAAACAAUUAUUACAAUAAUAACACUUUAUUAAUAACGGUCAAUGAAUUAUAUUUACAAUUUACGAGUUUUAGGACAUAAAUUCCAACAUAUUAGUCUUCCGUCUCAUGUAUAUAUUUUUUUAAUUAGCAAUUUAGUGUAUGACUAUUGGGCUUUCACCUCAUGUAUAACAAUUUAGUCUAUAAACUGGCUUGUAUACUGCUCUUGAAAAGGUAGAAAAUCAAUAUUUAAAAAGCUUGUGCUUAUUUCAACCCUUUUGGUGUUAUUCUUUCUUUUUCAAAUCCUCCUUUAGAUUUAAUGUUAAAAAUCAAUUCAUUGGAUUUGUCUUGAUCAAACUAUUCAUAGAGUGAGUUGUCUUAGGAUCUAAGAGUGACCAUCAUAGAUUCUAGGUUUGAUCUAAGUAGCUUUCUUUGUGAAUAUUGUAAGGAUCCUAGAAGGACUUCUAGCUUUGUAAUAUUUAACUAACAAAGUGGACCUUCAUGGUUGGAAAGAAAAGUCGAUGAAAAAAGGUAAAAACUAAUUCAAGAGUGGUCCACGCCAAGCAAUACUACUGAGGUGAGAUCUCAUGGCUUGGCUAGCUUUUAUAGAAGCUUUUCAUUCAAAUUUCUUGUUUGGAGGCAAGGAUUAAGGGAGGAAAUCCGUCUCUUUCUUCCUCUCAAUCCCUCUCUUUUCUUCCUCUCAAUCCCCUCUUUCCUCUUUUAAUGUUUCUCUUUCUUCCAUAAAUGGAAGCAUUUCAAACUUUUCUCUUUUGCUGAAGUAUAAAUAUAUUUUUUAAUAAUUAUAUUUUAACGAAUAUAAUUAUCUUUUCAUUUUUUUCAUAACUAUUAUAUAUAUAUAUAUAUAUAUAUAUAUAUAUAUAUAUAUAUAUAAUAUAUAUAUAUAUCAACAUAUACAUAUAAUUAUCAAAUUUCUAACACAAAUUCAACUCUUUAAUUUAAUUAAACAAAUACCAAAAAAAAUAUUUAAUUAAAUUCAAAUUUAACAGCACCAAAAAUCCAAUUGAAUGGUUAAUUAAAUAUUCAAUUCACAAAUAUUUAAUUAAUUUUAUUUUCACAAAACCACAAAUAUUUAAUUAAUUUUAUUUUCACAAAACCACAAAUAUUCAAUAUAAUGAUUGUCCGUUAGUUUUGAACCGCAUGACCCAUUUUUUAUUUUGGUUUCCAUUGCUUUUUUAUUAUUAUUAUUUUGCAUUAUCUCAAUAUACCACAUAAUUGACUUCACCGUUUAAUUACAUUUUAAAUAAAAAAAAAAUUAUAUUUCAUUUUGUUUCAAUGUUAUUAUGUUCAUCUUUAUUUAUUUAAAUUGAAUGUUAGUGAUAUGCAAUUUAAGAAAUAAAUAUAAUUUCUUUCGCACCUAACACAUCGAUUAAUUUAUUGACACGAAAAGCUUGCGUAUGAACAUGUUUUCCAAUAAAAAAAUCUAAAUUUAAGUAAAUUAAAAAUACGAAUAUUUGUAUAUUGGAUUUACUAUACAAUUUUGUAUAAAAAAAAUACAAGAGUACGAAAUAAAAUAUAAUAACUUUUUUGUCAUAAUCCUUUGCACUUACUUCUUCCUCCAAACCUUUGAAAAUGCAACCAAAAAGAAAGAAAAAAAACGAGCGUAUUUUUUAAUAUAUUGGAUUUACAGAUCAUUGAAAGACAAAUUAAGACAAAUGAAAAAUAAAUAGAUAAUACAAUUUCAUUGUGAAUUGGAUUUAUGGUACAAAUUUAAAAAACAUAUUUUACACCAAGCAAAAAAAAAUUAAUACAAUUUGUUUUGUGUAUUAGAUUUAAUGUAAAAAAAAAUAAGAAAAAAAAUUACUACACAAAUGAAUAAAAAAAUACUUCACUAUAGAAAGUGUAUUGGAUAUAAUUUAUAAGUAAAAAAAUAUUUAUACAGCAAACAUGAGCUCAACUCAACUGACACCUGUAUGUAUGUAUGGAUAUGAGGUCUUACAACUUAACUAAAAAAAUGAAUUUGAAUACAAUUUUUGGUUGUAAAAGCUUUAUGGUACGAACAACAUACAAAAGUUUACACAAAUGCAAAAAAUAUUAGCACAUUUUUCAUUUUAUAUUGGAGUCACAAAAAAAAAAAAAAACAAGAAUUUCAUACCCAUGAAAAAAAAAUAAUUUAGUUAUUUUCAUACAAUUUUUUUACACAAAUAAAAAAAGAAUACAUUUUUUUUUUAUCAUUAUCCUUCCCCAUGUAUAAUAAAUAAUCUCUCGUAAUCCUCCAACUUAUAAAUUUCCCCGAACAAUGAUUAUAAAUAAUCAUUUUCCUUUUCAUAAUCCUCAUUUUUCUUAUUCUUUUCCCUCCCAUUUUCCUUUCCUUCUCCCAAAAUACCCCCUAAUCUCACUAAGGGUGUGUUUUGGAGAAGGGUUGAGUUAUGGAAGGGUUAGGGCAAUGAUAAAACUAGUGUUAUGUUAAACUAGUUUUAUGAUAAGAGUGUGUUCGAGAGAGAAGGAUUAUGUGAGAAGGGUUACGAUAGUAUUAUGAUAAGAUGUGUUUGGGGGAAGGGUUAUGUGAGUAGGGUUUUGAUAGUAUUAUGAUAAGAUGUGUUUGGGGGAACAGUUAUGUGGGUAGUGUUAUGAUAGUAUUAUGAUAAGAUGUGUUUGGGGGAAGAGUUAUUUAGGUAGUGUUGUGAUAAGGUUAUGAUAAGAUGUGUUUGGGGAAAGUGUUAUGCUGAUAGUGAUGUGAUAAGAAUUAUUAUUUAAUUUAUGUAUAUAUGUACAUAUACAUGUAUAUUUGCACUCGUUAUAUCACUUUUACGUGUUGCGUCACAAUAGAUAUUCAAACGUAACAACUAAUAGACAACAUGUUCAAUAUGUACAUUACCAAUCCACAAAUUAAGUCAAUUACUUCAGUCGACGUCGGAUGAUUUGGUAAAAAAAAAAUUACACUUUCAAUAUUGAAUUUGUACAUAUAUUCAUAUAUGUACAUAUAAUAUUAUGUAUAUGUAUAUAUGUGUGUGUGUGUAUAUAUAUGUGUGCUGUAUUAAAUUAAGUCACAUUCAUUUUACUACAUGAAUAAUUUGAACAAAAAUCACAUGACUUGCAAUAUCAUUAGAAAAUAUAAAUGAAAAACAGUUAACAGGUAGAGUCAUAAAAAAAAAACCAUAAUAAUAGUCCAUGCAAGUAAAAUAAAAAAUCAACUAGUGCCUCGUACGAAUAACCAUGCAGAUAAUCAAGCUUCUCAUCGUCAAUUUGAGGAAACCCUUCAUGUCCGCUAAAUUGUUCAUCAGUAUUCAAUUGCAAUUGCGUCCUUUCCAGCCUAGAUGAGCUGAGGUAUGACACCUAGUGACUUGAGGUAUGGCACGCAAUGCGCGAACGACCUCUCUACAGACCCUGCUUUCAUCCUUGAGUGCAUGGUCACUAUGCAAUGAGCCCCAGCUGGUCGGUUUGGCAAGUCAUGGCAUUCUUAAUGACAUCAGCUUUUUUCGAAUUCUGCCCUCCCCGCUUUCGCCUUAAAGCCGCUCGAACACGUCCUACUAUCGCUUCCUUGACUAGGUCGUGCAAUGUCGUCGGGGGACAUCUUAAACCCAUGGCUGGACAUAGAAGGAAUUUUCAUAUCAUUGAGAUCCACGUGCGUAAAGUCCUCGACACCCAGGAGGAACAUUUGAUCUGACAUCGGCAAAUGUCUUCGCACGGGCUCCCAUUGCCUGAUCUUUUUUGAAUACAUAUUAAUAACUCGUCAUAAUAUAGGAAUGACUUAUUCAGCAAGCCCUUAGCUGCAGGGCGACUCUACAUAGGAAUGAAAAAUCAAAUAUUAGACUUGUCUCAUAUUGAAAUAAAAAUUAUAUUUCAUUACAAUUAUACUUUUCACAUACCCUGACCCAGUUUUCAAACAACUCCUUCUCAGCAAUGAUGCACUUCUCAUCGUCAUUUCAACUGAACCCGCUGCAUGAUGGACCGCGAAUUUAUGUGAUUGCCUAGUACGAGUGCUUCAAGGUCUUUAUGCAACAGUCAAUAACUGUGGUCGCAUGGACAUUGCAUCCUGGCAACUUCGUCGCCAUCAUUUGCAUAAGCAUAGUCAAAUCAUUUAUUAUGCAACUGCCAUUGAUUGAACAUCCUGACGGCCAAAUCAUCCCUCUACUGCAUCGAUUCGUUCGAGUUCUCAAUGAAUUGAAUGUCUUCACCUCCGAUCAUCGCGUAGGUGGAGUCUCCCUCGUCAACGUCGUCAACGACAUUAACAUUCAUCAUCUCACGUUUGAUGAGAUUGUGUAGUAGACAACAUGCUAGAAUAGUUCGACAUUGAAUUUGCACGGGAUAGUAGGACUCGCCACGAAGGAUUUGUUGGAAUUUUUUGUCCUAAAACUCGUAGUUUGUAAAUCAUAUUCUAUUCAAUAAAGUUGUUAUUGAGAAAUUAAAUAUUAUAAUCUUAAAUCCAAUAAAUCAAAGUUCCAAGGCUAUUUUUUGAAUAAACUUGAACUUUAUGUGUAAACAUAAACGUGGAUCAAGUUCGAGUAUAUAGCCUAAAUAGUCUAUAGUAUAUGAAAUAAAGGUUGGGCGCCUUAUUUUGAGAGACUAUGGAUGCGGCCCACUUUGUAGUACAAACGAUGUGAUCCUAAUCGUUCAUGUAGAGACAUGAAAGUGGGGGCAUCCUAUGUAAAAUGUUUACAUAAGACUGAACCAUGAAUUAGUCAUUUUUACGUUAUAACACCGUUUACUGUUUAAAACUGACUAUCUCAAUUAUUGAUGACCUAGGUAACUUAGUCUUAAUCCUGAGUUAACUAUGAACUCCUGUUCAUACGAGAUUAUCCUUAGAUCUGCAUAGGUGAGGGCAGCUCAUCAGCGUUGGCCCAAUAAGCCUCCCAUUUCAGGGGUAAGAUCGGGUGGAUAGCUGGGAACAUAGGGUACAAGAUGGAAUUCACUCCUACCCGCUUUAGGGUUAGUAGAUAGGUUGCUCUCUUAAGCACUGAAUCCAAGUCUUGAACAAGGGGCCCCACCCUCUCAUUGGCCCGAGAGGGAUUAAGUUUAUAGGUUGAACCUUAAACCAAUUGUUCAAUAGUGGAUUAGUGGGACUUAAGGAGCAAGAUGUAAUCUUGGGGGUAAAACGGUAUUUUGACCCAGCCAAGGUUACGAGCAACCUGUGAAGGAUUAACUUACUGAUUAUGGUUUUAUCAAAUGGACACAAAUAUAUCUAUAGUGAGGGGAGUGCAACUACGGGACUUUAGUGGAAUGACCCGUUAGUUAACGAAUGUUGAUUAACUCGGUUUAAAAGAGUUUAGCUAGUUAAUCUUGAAUCGUUGGAGCCCAUGAUCUAUAGGUCCAUUAGGUUCCUCUGCUAGCUCAUAUGGAUUAAACUUAGAACAGUGUGAUGAAAUAAGUCGAAUUGUUCGAAUAGGGAGAAGAAAGGAAAACCGACAUAUACAGUGAUAUAAUCGUCGGUCUUCUAAUUAGAAAUAGAGCUUUAUGUUUUACAUACUAUAAGUAUGAAUGCGGAUUCAUACUAAGAAGCUCGGAAUUGGUCAAAAAUAGUAAAAAGUCAAAAUGUUGACUUUUGACUUUGAAAAGUCAAACUUUGACCGGCCUUAUAUUCAAAUGUGAUUUGAAUUUUGGAAAAAUGAAUGCGGAUUCAUGCUCGGGAGGUUGGAAUUAGUCAAGACGGACAAAAUGGUAAAAAGUCAAAAUAUUGACUUUUGACUUAGAAAAGUCAAAGUUUGACUUUUGACUAGAAAAAUCUAAUGACCAUUUUACCCUUGGACUAAGUUAGUGGGAAAAUCCAACAUUUUGUUGGAUAAUCCCACUAACUCUUAGUGGGAUAUGUGGCUAUAUGAGAUAUAGACACCUAGCCCACUAAGUUCCACUAAUUGUUAGUGGAAUAUUAGGUGUUGAGAUUUGGCAAUUGAAUUGCAUGCAUUUUUGCAUGUAAUUAGGCUAUAAAUAGAGAUGUUUUCAAAUGUUGAAGGACUUUUGCCUCUUUUAUCAUUUUCAUAAUCUCAACAAAAGAAAAAAGAAAGCUUCCAAUCUCAUUUUAUCUCCAUUACUUUCUACACCAAAAUUGGGUCCCACAACCCGGUUCUUUGUCUAGAGGAUAGCAGUUGAGUACUAGUGGUGGUCUCGGAUAGAAUUGGUAAGAAGACAUCAAACCUUUUGAAAGCUUCAAAGGUAAUACUUCUUAAAACCCUAAUUUGAUUAGUUUAUGGUUACAUGUUAAUUGUGGCAAUUAGGGUAGAAAUUCGAUUCUUUUUCCGCUGUGCAUGACUUAGUUCUAUCACUAAUACACCCAUUGAUACACCUAAUACUUCUUGAUACACCUGAUACAUUUGAUUGAUACACUUGAUGCACCUGAUACUCUUUGAUACACUCGAUACCGAAACAUGCUAAUAUAUGUUUGAUACACCUGAUACAUUGCAUAUACAUUUAGUAUUAUCCACUUAUACAAUUGAUUGAUUAAAUGAACUUGAUAUGCUUGAAGUCCUACUUAUACACUUGAUAUGCUAUCGAUAUACACUUGUAAACUCGAUUCAUAUACUUGUUAAUGAUUCACUUUACUGAUAUGUUUUAACAAUAUAUUGUUGAUAUACUUGAUAAUGAUAUAUUGAAUUACAUCAUUCAUAUACUUAAUAAUACUCUAAUAAACUACAUAAAAUUUGAAAAAAUGAAAACCACGUAGUAAGUAUAUUAACCAACUAAUACAUAUAAUAUAAGUAUACUACAAUACUAUCAUACGAAACUGAGACAGAGUAAAACAAAAAAAUUAAUAUAAAAAAAUAAAAGAAAAUCAUUUGGAAUCAAAUUCAACUCAAAAUACACAUAAAGAAAGUAAAAAAAAAUCACAAAUAAAGUUAAAUUACUCCAAUCAACAACCAUUAUAUUAUAUUAUUCAUAUUAAAACUAAUGUACUAUUGAUAUUUUAAAAUUAAGAUGAAGACAGAAAGAAUAAAUAAUUUUUCUAGUAUAAGAAUAAACAAGUAAUUAGGGCCUUAAAAAGUGGGAGCAUAAAUAAAUAAUGAGUAGGACAUUAAAAAGAGGAAGAAAAAUAAGUUAUUGAAUGGUAGUUUAGAAAUAAUGUCAAAUUUAAGAUGAAGAAGUAAAAAUUUUACCAUAUUUGCAAAAUUCUAAAACAAUGUGCUAUAAUUGUUAUAUUAUAUUCUCAAAAUGUCAUCCUAUGCAAUUUUCCUAAAAAAUAACCCUCAACUAUUAAAAAGUUUUAAAAAAUAUAAUACCCUUAUGCUUCAAAAAAAAAAAAAAAAGUUAAAAGAUAAUCUCCAAAUUUUGCACCAAUUUAUAAAAUAAAAAUAAAAAUUUUAAAUUAAAACUAUAGUUUUAUUUUUAUCUGACUAUUAACCCAUAAUCAUAGAUCACAAACAUAACCCUUCUCAAUAGUUAUUGUUGUACCAUUGUCAAAUAACAAAAUGUAUAUGACUAUUAACAUAUAGUGAUAGUCUGAUAGAUCUCUCAACGUGAGAUGUUUUUUAUUUGACUAGUAAUUGUUUUAACGAGAAAACUUCGUGAAAUUUUGUAAAAUUGUAUGGUUUAAAUCAUGUUUAAGAUAUGAAUGUUGACUGAUAUAUUGAAGUCUUGAUAUUACAUAAAUUUUGAUUUCGAUAGAUAUUUUUGAAAAAUUAUUAUAAAAACAAUAAUUAAAAAAUAAUAAUUUUAAAUUAGUAAAUAAAUAUUUUAUUAUUUUCAAAUAAGUAAACAUGUCUAUUAUUUAUAUUUUAUAUUAGUGUUAUUUUUAUGUUUAUUUGUUGUGAUUUGUGCAUUUUUCUAUGGUGUAAUGGAAAUAUUGCUUCAUUACUAUCAAUAUCAAACACAUGAAAAUGUGAAAAUAUCGAUAGAAAUGCCUACAUAUGGAUGAAAAUUUAAAACUAUAGUUUUAACUUAAAGUUUUGAUUUUUAUUUUGAGGGAUAAGAAAUUUUGUUUAAAAAUUAGAUAAAUGAAAGUAUUUUUGAAUUUUUUAUAAGUUUAAGAGUGUUUAUGAAAAUUUUGAAUAGUUGGAGGAUACUUUUGAAACAAAAUUUUAAUAGUUUUCAUACAAAACUAACUUAUAGAACUUUUGAACCAUUUUUAAAAGUUUAAAAACAGAUUAAAAUUUCUUAAUUUUGUUUCUCUCCUACUCGUCGUCCUCCCAAGUUUCGUUGAAGGCUUCGCUCACAGCGUUGCCUCCGAAACAAAUGGGUAUCCCUUUUGAUUUUGUUGAACGACCGAGUUUUGCACUUUACCUCCGAAACUCAAUCGCUUGCAUGUUCACCACUCUUCUUGGUGAACAUGCAAUUCCGACUCAGUUUUCCCCUUCCACUUCCCCUUGCCGCUUGGACUCCCAUUUGCCGAUCGAGUAUUUUUUUCUCUCUGAUUUGGACACUUCCUACACUAUCGUUACUAUCAUCUUCUGCAAUUGGGAUGUUUGAGCAAGGUAGGGUUGGAGGUAAGUGGUUGGAUUUUGAGUUUCUAUCGAAGCUGAUGAUAAGGAUUACACUUAUGUAUUGUCUGAAUAAUUAUUUGUGAUUAAUUCUGUUUAUGUACUUGUCUGAAUAAUUAUUUGUAAUUGUUUUUGUUUUUUUCUUCAAUUUACUUCCAAUUUUUUCAUAUUCGGUCAUCCCUGUUUGAAACUGCAAUGUUGUUGUUUGUUUUUCAUGUUUCUGAUUAGUUUUGUUUGUUUAAAUUCAUAAUUAUUCGUAAUUACUUUUGUUUAUGUGCUUCUCUGAAAAAUUAUUUGAAGUAGUUUUGUUUCUUACUUCAAUUUACGUUCAUUUUUUUCAUUUUUGGGCAUCCUCUUUGAAACUACAAUGUUGUUUAUUUUCCAUGUUUUUGAUUAGUUUUGUUUCUUUGAAUUCAUAAUUAUUUGUAAUUACUUUUGUUUAUGUGCUUGUCUGGAAAAUUAUUCGUAAGUAGUUUUGUUUCUUACUUCAAUGUCCUUCCAUAUUUUUUCAUUUUUGGCCAUCCCCGUCUGAAACUACAAUGUUGUCCUUGUUUUUCAUGUUUUUGAUUAGUUUUGUUUGUUUGAAUUUCUUGUUGCUACGAUGUUUAGCAAUCUGAACACUGCAUUUUCAGGCAUGUUUUUUAAUUGGUGCCCUAAGAAAUAUGUUGUCAUAUUUAUUUCUUUUGACACUAAGAAAUAUGUUGUCAUAUUUAUUUCUUUUGACAUUUGACAUUUGAGUAACUAUGUUUACAGUUUCAGUUUACUUGCAAUUAAGAUGCCUUAUGAUGUUGAGUUGCUGUGAAGUCUGCUCUCUUUAUUUGCAAGCAACUGUCUGUUCUGUUUUAUUCUCUUUAUUUGUAAGCAAAUCUCAUCAAUCCAUAACAUUGCACUGUCUGUGUUCAAUCAUUUUCCUUGGUUAUGCAUUUGUCUAUUCAUAGCUUAUCUUUGUCUUAAUGUGGUAGGUUUUGACUAUGUCCUCCUCUUUUCUGUACACUUCUGUCAUUUAAAGAGGUUCCCUUCUUUUAUUUUUUUGGUAUGGGUCAAUAAAGGCAUACUUGACCAUCUAUCCCUCUAUAUAUAGCACUUCAUUUGUUGUAUUUUAUUAUGUGUUGUUUUCCUUGCUUCCUCCUCUGUUCUUUCUUCAUUUGGUAGGUAAAUUCAUUUUCUUUUAUUCUUUUGAAGUUCCAUUUGUCCUUCUUUUUUCUUUUGUCAUAUCUAUGUUAACAAGAAUGUGCAUGUCUGUCCUUACUGUUCAAUUCCGAUCUGUUAUGUUUAAGGCAUAUUAUGGGUCAUGAAUUUCUUCAUUAUUUGAAGGAUAUACCUUCUUAUACAUAAAACCUUAUCCACUGCCAUUUCAUACUUUUCAUGAUUUCUUUCAUGUCAUCUCAUGUUUACUAUCCAUAGCCAUUUUAAGGGAUGUUGAUGUUGAUGUUGAUGUUGUAUGAUUGUUUGAUAUAUAUUUUUUGUGUCGAUGUUGUAUGACUGUUUGAUUUUUAUGUGUUGAUGUUGUAUGCUUAUUUUGUUUGCAUUUACAACCCUAUAUAUACUUUGCUGCAUAAUUUGUAUUGAUGUUCUACUAAUAGAUUCAGUUCGUUACAUCGAACAGAUUCAACUCCUCUGAGGCACAACAUUUUUUAAAAAUAAAAUAAGAUUUUUCUCAUUCAUUUAAUGAAUCUUGUUUUUUCAUUUCAUCAUCGACAUUCCUCCAAAUAAUAGGGUAUGUAAGCGAUACACUUCAUCCUUAUAGUAUUUUUACUCGUACUUGUGUUAGACAGAAACACCGAUUUCCUUACUUUCUUUGCAGAAUAUUCGACUUCAUACUGUUGGAAUUUUUUUGUCCUAAAACUCGUAGUUUGUAAAUCACUAUUCUGUUCAAUAAAGUUGUUAUUGAGAAAUUAAAUAUUAUAAUCUUAAAUCCAAUAAAUCAAGUUCCAAGGCUAUUUUUUGAAUAAACUUGAACUUUAUGUGUAAACAUAAACGUGGAUCAAGUUCGAGUAUAUAGCCUAAAAUAGUCUAUAGUAUAUGAAAUAAAGGUUGGGCCCUUAUUUAGAGAAACUAUGGAUGCGGCCCACUUUGUAGUACAAACGACGUAUCGUUCAUGUAGAGACAUGAAAGUGGGGGCAUCCUAUGUAAAAUGUUUACAUAAGACUGAACCAUGAAUUAGUCUUUUUUACGUUAUAACACCGUUUACUGUUUAAAACUUGACUAUCUCAAUUAUUGAUGACCUAGGUAACUUAGUCUUAAUCCUGAGUUAACUAUAACUCCUGUUCACAUGAGAUUAUCCUUAGAUCUGCAUAGGUGAGGGCAGCUCAUCAAGCGUUGGCCCAAUAAGCCUCCCAUUUCAGGGUAAGAUCGGGUGGAUAGCUGGGAACAUAGGGUACAAGAUGGAAUUCACUCCUACCCGCUUUAGGGUUAGUAGAUAGGUUGCUCUCUUAAGCACUGAAUCCAAGUCUUGAACAAGGGGCCCCACCCUCUCAUUGGCCCGAGAGGGAUUAAGUUUAUAGGUUGAACCUUAAACCAAUUGUUCAAUAGUGGAUUAGUGGGACUUAAGGAGCAAGAUGUAAUCUUGGGGGUAAAACGGUAUUUUGACCCAGCCAAGGUUACGAGCAACCUGUGAAGGAUUAACUUACUGAUUAUGGUUUUAUCAAAUGGACACAAAUAUAUCUAUAGUGAGGGGAGUGCAACUACGGGACUUUAGUGGAAUGACCCGUUAGUUAACGAAUGUUGAUUAACUCGGUUUAAAAGAGUUUAGCUAGUUAAUCUUGAAUCGUUGGAGCCCAUGAUCUAUAGGUCCAUUAGGUUCCUCUGCUAGCUCAUAUGGAUUAAACUUAGAACAGUGUGAUGAAAUAAGUCGAAUUGUUCGAAUUGGGAGAAGAAAGGGAAACCGACAUAUACAGUGAUAUAGUCGUCGAUCUUCUAAUUAGAAAUAGAGCUUUAUGUUUUACAUACUAUAAGUAUGAAUGCGGAUUCAUACUAAGAAGCUCGGAAUUGGUCAAAAAUAGUAAAAAGUCAAAAUGUUGACUUUUGACUUUGAAAAAGUCAAACUUUGACCGGCCUUAUAUUCAAAUGUGAUUUGAAUUUUGGAAAAAUGAAUGCGGAUUCAUGCUCGGGAGGUUGGAAUUAGUCAAGACGGACAAAAUGGUAAAAAGUCAAAAUGAUUGACUUUUGACUUUUGACUAGAAAUAUCUAAUGACCAUUUUACCCUUGGACUAAGUUAGUGGGAAAAUCCAACAUUUUGUUGGAUAAUCCCACUAACUCUUAGUGGGAUAUGUGGCUAUAUGAGAUAUAGACACCUAGCCCACUAAGUUCCACUAAUUGUUAGUGGAAUAUUAGGUGUUGAGAUUUGGCAAUUGAAUUGCAUGCAUUUUUGCAUGUAAUUAGGCUAUAAAUAGAGAUGUUUUCAAAUGUUGAAGGACUUUUGCCUCUUUUAUCAUUUUCAUCAUCUCAACAAAAGAAAAAAGAAAGCUUCCAAUCUCAUUUUAUCUCCAUUAUUUUCUACACCAAAAUUGGGUCCCACAUCCCGGUUCUUUGUCUAGAGGAUAGCAGUUGAGUACUAGUGGUGGUCUCGGGUAGAAUUGGUAAGAAGACAUCAAACCUUUUGAAAGCUUCAAAGGUAAUACUUCUUAAAACCCUAAUUUGAUUAGUUUAUGGUUACAUGUUAAUUGUGGCAAUUAGGGUAGAAAUUCGAUUCUUUUUCCGCUGUGCAUGACUUAGUUCUAUCAUGUGGUAUCAGAGCAUGCUUCAUUUUUACCCAAUUGCAUGUGGUGGGUUCAUAUUUAUUAGAUAAAUUUUGGUUUGAACUAAAAUGGAUAUAUUAUGAUUUUGGCUCUAGAUUAAGUGUUUUUGUUCUAAUUAUUGUAAUUAGCCUUGUUGAUGGCUUAUUUUUAUUGUUGCAAAGUGUUUGUAAUUUUUAAAAAAAUAAAAAAAGUCAUUAGAGUUGAAGCUAGGCUGUAAUUGGUUCAACCGAGUGAGAGAAUUGAAAAAAAAUGAAGAAAAGAAGGUCACAGACCCGAAAACCCGCCUUGACCCGCUUCGCGACCCGCACGCGCCUGCGCGCCCUCCUGCGCCCGCGCGCCCGCCUUCGCUCGCGCGCCUGCCUUCGCACGACCCGUGUGCGCCUGGGCCAGUUCAAGCCAAUAAAUUUGGUUUUUGGGCCGGUUCAAGCGGUUUCGGUUGGUUUUUUAGCCGGUUCGAAGUUUUUGGGAGUGGUUCUGUACUACACCAAAUUAAUUAUGUAAUAAUUUAGCACUUAGCUUAAUUUAGGAGCCAAAAAUCAGUCCAUUUUAGGGUGUUCUUUUUUAUUUAUGCAUGUGAUGUAUGAUUAAAUUACUUUAAAUUUGUAUGUGCAUUUUGAAUGUCAUAUAGCACUAGUACAAAAGUGGGCUACGACGACAGUUAUUUACUGUCGCGAACGGAUUUCGUGACAGUUAUUUUCAGUCAUAGAGCGGGAGUCAUGGAAAGGCCUUCGACGACAGUUUUUGAAAACUGUCGCAAUAGGUUGUUUUAUGACAUGAAAUAAAUGUCGUUAAUCAACAUUCAACGACAUUCAAUAACUGUCAUAAUUUAUUUUAUAACAUUCAAUAACUAUCAUCAUUUCUUUAUUAACGACAGUUAAAUAAUUGUCACGAAUUCUAUUAUCGUGACAUGUAUUAAUUGUCAUGAAUAUGUUUUUCGCGACAGUUUUUUUUGUAAAAAUGUCAUUGUUUAGUUAUUGACGACAUUUUUUUCCAGUCAACGAUUGUGCAAUCGUGACAGUUUUUCGAUAACAUUAAAUGUCAUUGUUUUGCCAUUGACGACAUUUUUUCCCAUUCAAUAAUAUAAUGCAAUCGUGACAGUUUUUUUUUUAAAAAAAUUGUCAUUGUUUAUCUUAUGACGACAUGUUAUUCCUGUCACAUAUAGAGCAAUCGUGACAAUUUAUUUUGUUAAAUAACUGUCAUCGUUCUCCAAUUUACAACAACUAUUAACUAUCACAUUUCUCAAUUUCCUAUAGUUUUAUUUUGUUCUCCAUGCAGCUCCACCAUUACACGAACCAUUAGAAUGACAAUAAUGUAGCUGAGAAUGACAAAUUUGAAAUUAUACAAGUUUCACACCAAUGUACAAGAAAAUAGCCAACACUUUAAUAUAUAUACACUAUAAUACGAUUUAUAAUAUUUGUACAUCUUAAUACAAGUUUCAGUAAUCCACAUGUACGAAAUACUAACCCUUAAUCAAAAAAUAUCUUAAAUAACAUUCGAAUAUAUUUGACUGGACCAACCGAGAAUGUUCGUUUCUGGAAAUGAUAUUUGAAACAAAACUCAUGAACUUGUCGACUCCAGUUGAACUCUACAAAGAAUCCAUAACACAUACGUACAGUCAAUGAAUAUACUAAAUCAACGUCUCAACAAAAUACAGAACACAAACAAGAACUUCAACACUUGAUUCCAUGAAAUGAAAAGAGAAGACCAUGAGGACUAUAUUAGGCAAACACAGCAAACAAAAACAUACUGCUACUCUUUCUCUCUAGAAUACACAUACCAAAAACAUACCCAGCUCACUCUUUCUCUCUAGAAUACACAGUCCACAAUCAAUAUUGAAUACGUCAAUAUAAUAAAUAGUACAAUGGGUUUUAGGUGUAUAGAUAGUAUGCUUAUCAUACUAACUGCUAAAAAUGUGCACAGGUUAGAAGAAUCCUAAAAGAACCCACAACUAAAACAGAACACACACAACUGAAACUCACCUGAAAAUCGCUCUAAUCUGUCGCCAAAAACAACACUCUCAAUAUCUCAAUCUAGCUGUUUAAGACACAAAAAAGAGAAUGUUGGAGAGUGGUCUCCAGAGGAUUAAAAAUCAUUUUUGACUAGUACAAAUCAUUUUAUAAGAACCCAAAAGCAGAUAAUCAUCCAAAAUCAAUUGAUCAUACGAGAACAAUAUAUCAACAUUCAUAACUAGUUGAACAAACCUUAGCUUUAUGAACCAACGACCUUUGUUUUCAUCUUUCAUGUUGACCAUAGAAGUCAAAACUUCUGUUUUAUAACAAAACUAAAACAAAUAGGACACCAAAAGUGCCCAAAACAAAAUCAAAAGGUCAAAUGCCAAAUAAUAUUUAAAAGAAGGAAAAUGAUAGCAAAUAGCACAAUUUAGGUAAUAAACAAAAAAACAAAGGAAAAAUCAAUAUCAAAAUAGGGACGAACAAUAGAGAGAUAUGAAUCAACAACUUGGGUAUGAAGCAACAAAGUAAAUAUUAAACAUAUCAAUAAAAACUCAUAAGAGUAACAUUAAACAUAACAAUAUAACUCGUUGUAAAAAGACCCUCAUAAUUGUUGUGUAAAUAUAAUCACUUACUUGGUAGCUUCAACACUAUAGUAGAUCAUAUUCAUGCAAAACCUAAUAAAAACGCAAAAGUUACAUUUUGUAAACUACAAUAGAGAGUUUUGAACUACAAUACCAUACAACAAAUGUCAAAGAAAAUAAAAAACUUUGCAUUUAGAGUUUUGAACUACAGUAGAAACUAAUAUUAACUAUUUGAGAAUAAGAACAUAUCAUCUAUCAAAAACUUAGGUCCAUAGUUUGGGAUAUCAAACGUUCUUACAAUAUAAAAUACUUUCCAUUGAUAACUAUUUGGUUUUUUGUUUUUGUUUUAGAACCAUGAAAAAACAGUUUUUGUUUUGAACUUUUUUUUUAUUUAGCUAAAAGUUUAACUUUUGUACUUUAGAAAGAUGUAAAUCGUUAGGUUAAUUUUUAAAAACCUAAAAACAAACUAGCUACUAAACCGAAGCUUAAAUUGAACUACUUGAAACUUUUAUUCUGCACCUUACAAAAUUUCAUAAAGAGAAGAAUAUUAUUUCAUCAUUCAAUACAACUUCAGCAUGUCUCCUCACCAAAGUAAUCCACUAGAAAACAUGGCAAAAAUUAAUCAACACGUUUUAAAGAUUAAAGAUAAAUAUGUUAUUUUACAAGUAAACAAAGAGGUUAAACCUGGAAAAGAAGAUUAGAGAAAUGGAAGAAAAGGGUUUAAGACCCAUUGCAUUUGCUUGUCAACAUACAAACGAUCAAACAGCGUUUGAAGGAGAGUUAAAGCUGCUUGCAUAUCUAGGUCUUAAGAUCUCACAUAAAAAAAAUGCUACAUGAGUUGAAGAUAUUGAAAAUCUUGGUACAAGAAUCAUAUUAGCAUGCAUCAGAAGAUAAGUUUUCUAUGAUCAUAAACAUGGCCGAUGAUGUUUAUCAAUGAUGAUCUUCUAAGAAAAUAACAAAUUUCUAAAAUUGAAGGACAACAAACAUAAAAAAUGAAGGACAAUAGAGAAUAACCAUACAUAUUCUCACAUAGAUUUUUCGCUACAAAAUACACACAUUUGCAAUAUGCUAUCAAAAUCCAAACGGUGCAAGGCUACCUCAAUGAUUAUCACUAAAUCCAAAUUAUGCAAUCAAAAUCAAAGGAUACUGCAUUUGCAUUUUUUCAAAGUUCUAACACCGUCCAUAUUUUUUUAGAGUAAAGUUUAACACCAGUAACCAAAAAUAAGAGAGAAAGAAUAUACAGGGGCAAGAUGAAAACCAAAACAAGCCAAAAACAAGACGACCUUUACACUCAAUUACAGAGGAGGAGCAUGGAAAUCCAAAUACUUACGUUUUAUUGUCCACAAUAAUAUAGGUAAAUGGUGAAUGCCUCUUCACAAACCUGAGAAAACAUAGAAAAUCACAAAUGUGGUAACUCAUAGGAAUCAUUAAACACCCAUUACAAAAAAAAAAAAAAGCAAAUAUUCUUUCAGAGUAAAUAGUAGAAAAAAGACAAAAUAUUUAUGGCAACACAUCAGAAAUUUUUAGCACAAUAAAUAUGAGUGUGACUUUAAACUUCUUGCCAAAGAAUAGGUGCAAAAUAUAUAUUUCACUGAAAAGAAGAAAUAAACGAUAAUUAAAUAAUUUACAAGUGUAGGUGACCAUUUUCAUAAUUCAACAACUGUUAAUUAAGAUACAAACCAAAUAGAGGUUUGAAAAGUGGAAAGUUCUCAAUGUUAUUCAAAAUGUCAAAAUUAACAUAUCAGUGUGGAACAUCAAAGCCACAUCACAAUAUUUCAUGCAGACACUGAUGCAAUUGAAUGAAAAGUAAAUUUCACUUCAACUAGUAAAUACAAUUAACGCAGAAUUUUACCUAAAGAAAUUUAAGUUUAUGUCUAUCUUUUGAUGUUUCAUUUCAUCAGAGCCUCCAAUUCCAUUACACUUUUUAAUACCAUACACUUGAAAGGCAGUUUGAUAAACAUUUGUAGUUUUGUUCAUUCCACUUCAAAAAACUGAAACAAACAUAGGAAGUAGAACUUCGUUGAGAUCAUUAUUUAAACAAUGGUUUCUUCUUCUAGAAAAAUAUGUUUAAUUCUUCAACCAUUACAAGCAUCAAAUGCAUUCAUGAAUUGACAGUGACAUCAAACUAAUAUGGUAAAAAAAUAAACAAUAAUAUUAUAAUAAACUUUAUCCAUCUUAAUCGGAAGACCUCUCUUUCUACUACUAUCCAAUUUCAAUGAGAAAUUAUAAACUACAAACUAUAAAAUUGUCAGUUCUGAAACUCCAACGCAGAAAGAAAAGAACGAAGAUAGAGAAGGCAAUAUGUGGUUUACCUUGGAGAAUGGCACCCCCAAAAAUCAGUUCCAAAAUAAAGUGAAGAAUAGUAUAUAUAGCACCGGUACUCACAGUAAGGGCGUAAAUUGCGUAUCUUCUAACAUUAUCCCAAAAUUCCUCAACCAAAGGGCCUUCAGGGCCCAAAGCCAAAGCCCCUUCGCGUUGCAACCAAUCAAAAACAGGCACCACCCAUCGGGACGGCUUGAUUGUCUUGAUUUCCCUCUUGAGGUUGCUUCGAUUGUCUUGAAAUUCGAUGGGUGAGGGUUUUUUCAGGGGAAAUUGAAUGAAGAGGAAAACAGAAUGUGGAUCGACGACUGGCGGUUGUGAGCGGCGAACGUGGCGGUUACUGGUUCACACGGCGACUCGGGCUUCGACGAAGACAGAACCGGUGAUGGAGACGGCAGAUCGGCGCGCGGAACGACUGCUGCAAGGUUGCUUGGCGAUCCAGAGAUGGAGACGGCAGAUCGCGGGCUACGGCGGGAAGAAAACGGAAGAGAAAGACGGCUGGCUGCGGCUGGGCUGCGGCGGGAAGGAAACGGAAGGGAAGGGAGAAGGAGACGGUGGAGUCGUCGCGACGUACGGGAGGAAGGAGAAGAGGCGCGGCGGUUGCAGCUGGGGAGAAGGGGAAGGACGCACGGGGAGGAAGAAGGAAAUAGGGAAAAGAAAGAAAAAGGAAAAAGAAAAGAAAAGGAAAAAAGAAAAAAAAUUUAACCCUAACAUUCUAUGACAGUUAAUAACUGUUGCGAAAAGUGUUUUCCGAAAAAUUCCGUCUUUUCCCGCCAAAAACGCGAAAUUUUAUAUUUCGUGACAGUUUUUUUUUCUUCCAUUCAUUUUUUGAGAUAUAUAACUGUCAUUGUAGGGUAGUUUUCUUCUAGUGUAGAUUUAAAAUCCCACCAUAGGUUAACAUGUUCAUGCAUUAAAAUGUAUGAUAUAAAAGUUAUAUUGUAUUGUAUGCAUGUUAAUUGAUUAAUAUGGAAAUUAAUUAAUAUGAUUAAUUAAUUAUUUAAUAAAUUAAGUUAUUCUUGAUUAAAUAUGAUUUAAUCAAAUUAAUUAAUUAUUGUUUGAUUUAAUUUAAUUAAAUAUGAUUUAGUUAAAGUUAAAUAAUUAAAAUCCAUAUUAAUUGAUUGUUUUAUAAGAUUAUAUAUUGAUAAAAUGAUUGAUUAAGUCUAGAAGUUUUUAUAAGUGUUAUAAAAUAAAUUAGACUUUUAAAAUCAAUAACAAAGAUUAAAUGCAUGCUCACUUAGGUUAAAUAUAUCUUCCAUUUUUCAUAGAAAUAGGUCGAUAUCUUGUAAAACUGGUUACAAAAGGCUCACCUGGUUCAAUCUUGUCAACCAGUCAGAUAAGAUGACUAAGGUUGGAGGUUCUUAAGUUGACGGUUUACGGAACACCUCCUACCUGGAGAUCGUAAUCAGUUCUUGAGCCUAGUUAACCUAGUUUUAUGAGCAUUCGUGAGAGGUGUGAGGUAAUAAAAAUGGUUUUUCACCUAGACAUCAUAGGUUAAAAUCCUGUAUAAUGGUUAUACUUGGAUGUUUUAUCUAGACUUAAGAUUUGUUUAAGUUAGCCUAAAUAUAAAUCUUGAAGCUUGGAUUACCCUAUUUUUUCUCUAGAACACUUCAACUAGAGAAAAAUAAUGUAUUUUAGCUCUAGUGUCCCUAAGAGUUCACACCGUGAGGUCCAUGCAGGGCUUUGUGCCGUGCAUAGGAGCGGCCUCCCUUCGGAGAGUGUUUGCAUGGAUCAAAAUCAAGGUGAAUAGGGGAAGUAGUUCAUAGUACAGGUGAGGGAUUUGUGGCAGCACAUCCCACGGUCUCUUCUAUUAGGUCGCACCGUGAGAUUUCUAUAAUAUGCCUGCUUGUCUGCCGUGGAGCGACGUUCCCUUCGGAGGGUUGUAUUAUAGGAUUCGGAACACCGCGAACUCCAAAACUGGAUAGGAUUUCUUAGAUUAGUUUUCAGAAAUGAUUCUAAUCUAUAAAAUCUGAAAAUGGUGGGUAACACUUACAAGAAUUACUAAGUUGUUAGUAUAUUCUUGACUAAAGUAGCGAUAACUAAGUGCUAUAAAGAAUAAAGAGUUAUUCUUGAGAUAGCAUCUAGUCAAGAUUGUCUUGGUUCAAAGGAGGAAUAAUCAACUACCCUUCGGAGAAGGUUGUUCUAAACCUUUGAAAUAUUGUUGCAAAAUACAAAUAAUGAAAGGGUACAUUAUUAGUAAUUGCUAAAUUAGAUUGGAUAUUUUUUAUGAUUAUAGUUUUUUCCUAAAAAGAAUAUGUUUGUUUUUCAGCAUGAAUAGCUCAAUAGUUCAACUUUUAGCUUCCGAAAAACUUAAUGGCGAUAAUUAUGCGGCUUGGAAAUCAAAUCUUAACACAAUACUAGUGGUUGACGAUUUAAGAUUUGUCUUAACUGAGGAAUGUCCUCAAAACCCUGCCUCUAAUGCUAACCGAACUAGUCGGGAUGCAUAUGAUCGAUGGAUAAAAGCUAAUGAAAAAGCCCGUGUUUACAUUCUUGCCAGCAUGUCUGAUGUAUUGGCAAAGAAACAUGAAUCCUUAGCCACGGCUAAAGAGAUUAUGGAUUCAUUAAGGGGAAUGUUUGGGCAACCAGAAUGGUCCUUAAGACACGAGGCAGUCAAAUACAUUUACACUAAGCGUAUGAAGGAAGGGACCUCUGUUAGAGAACAUGUUCUGGACAUGAUGAUGCACUUCAACAUCGCUGAAGUGAAUGGUGGUCCCAUCGAAGAGGUUAAUCAAGUUAGUUUUAUCUUAGAGUCUCUUCCGAAGAGCUUCAUUCCAUUCCAAACGAAUGCGUCUUUGAACAAGAUAGAAUUUAACUUGACAACCCUUCUGAAUGAACUCCAGCGAUUCCAAAACCUAACUAUGGGUAAAGGAAAACAAGUGGAAGCAAAUGUUGCUACCACAAAAAGAAAAUUUAUAAGAGGAUCGUCCUCUAAAACCAAAGCUGGACCCUCAAAACCUAAUGCUCAAAUAAAAAAGAAGGGAAAGGGAAAGACUCCCAAACAGAACAAGGGUAAGAAAGCUGCAGAAAAAGGUAAGUGUUACCAUUGUGGCCAAAACGGGCACUGGUUAAGAAACUGCCCAAAAUACCUUGCAGAAAAAAAGGCAGAGAAGGAAACACAAGGUAAAUAUGAUUUACUAGUUGUAGAAACAUGUUUAGUGGAAUAUGAAAAUUCUACCUGGAUACUAGAUUCAGGAGCCACUAACCAUAUUUGCUUCUCAUUUCAGGAAAAUAGUUCUUGGAAAAAGCUUUCAGAAGGUGAGAUCACUCUCAAGGUUGGAACAGGAGAGAUGGUCUCAGCUUCAGCAGUGGGAGUUUUAAAGUUGUUUUUUAGAGAUAGAUAUGUCAUACUUAAGAAUGUCUUAUAUGUACCUCAAAUGAAAAGAAAUUUAAUAUCUAUCUCUUGUAUUUUGGAACAAAUGUAUAGAAUAUCUUUUGAAAUUAAUGAAGCGUUCGUUUUCUAUAAAGGUAUUCUAGUUUGUUCUGCUAUACUUGAAGACAACUUAUAUAAGUUAAGACCAACUAGAGCAAAUUUUGUCUUAAAUACUGAAAUAUUCAGAACAGCUGAAAACUCAGAAUAAAAGACAAAAAGUUUCUUCUAAUGCCUAUUUAUGGCACUUAAGACUUGGUCACAUAAAUCUCAAUAGGAUUGGGAGAUUGGUUAAAAGUGGGCUUCUAAGUCCGUUAGAAGAUAACUCUUUACCUCCUUGUGAAUCUUGUCUUGAAGGAAAAAUGACCAAGAGAUCUUUUACUGGAAAAGGUCUAAGAGCCAAAGGACCCUUAGAGCUCGUACAUUCGGACCUUUGUGGACCAAUGAAUGUCAAAACUCGAGGUGGAUAUGAAUAUUUCAUUAGCUUCAUUGAUGAUUAUUCAAGGUAUGGUCAUAUUUACCUAAUACAUCAUAAGUCUAAUAGUCUUGAAAAGUUCAAAGAAUAUAAGGCUGAAGUAGAAAACGAAUUAGGUAAAACAAUAAAAAUACUUCGAUCAGAUCGAGGUGGAGAGUAUAUGGACUUACGAUUCCGAGACUAUUUAAUAGAAAAUGGAAUCCAGUCACAACUCUCUGCACCUAGUACACCUCAACAGAACGGUGUAUCAGAAAGAAGAAACUGGACCUUGUUAGACAUGGUUCGCUCUAUGAUGAGUUUUUCUCAGAUGUCAGAUUCUUUUUGGGGAUAUGCUUUAGAAACAGCUGCUUAUAUUUUGAAUAAUGUUCCCUCUAAAAGUGUUUCAGAAACACCUUAUGAGCUAUGGAAAGGGCGUAAAGGCAGUUUACGUCAUUUUAAAAUUUGGGGUUGUCCAGCACAUGUGUUGGUACAAAAUCCAAAGAAAUUGGAACAUCGUUCAAAAUUAUGCUUUUUUAUAGGUUAUCCAAAAGAAUCAAGAGGUGGUUUGUUUUAUGAUCCUCAAGAAAAUAAAAUACCACAUCAGGGAUCAUCAACCUCGUAGUAAACUAGUAUUUAAAGAAAUUUCCAAAAGUGCUAUAGAUAAAACCUAGUUCAUCCACUAAAGUAGUUGAUAAGACUAGGAAAUCUGGUCAAUCACAUCCUUCUCAACAGUUGAGAGAGCCUCGACGUAGUGGGAGGGUUGUUCAUCAGCCUGAUCGCUAUUUGGGUUUAAUUGAAACUCAAGUCGUCAUAUGGCAUAGAGGAUCCAUUAACCUAUGCAAUGAAAGAUGUAGAUCGUGACCAAUGGAUCAAAGCCAUGGACCUCGAAAUGGAGUCUAUGUACUUUAAUUCUUUCUAGACUCUAGUAGAUCAACCAAAUGACGUAAAACCUAUUGGUUGUAAAUGGAUCUACAAGAGAAAACGAGACCAUGCCGGUAAAGUACAGACUUUUAAGGCUCGACUUGUGGCAAAGGGUUAUACCUAGAGAGAGGGAGUAGACUAGAGGAAACUUUCUCUCCCGUUGCCAUGUUAAAGUCAAUUAGAAUACUCUUAUCCAUCGCCACUUUUUAUGAUUAUGAAAUUUGGCAGAUGGAUGUCAAGACAGCUUUUUUGAACGGUAAUCUUGAAGAGAGCAUCUAUAUGUCUCAACCAGAGGGGUUUAUAAAACAAGAUCAAGAACAAAAGGUUUGUAAGCUUAAAAAAUCCAUUUAUGGAUUAAAACAAGCUUCUAGAUCCUGGAAUAUAAGAUUUGAUAUUGCGAUCAAAAUCUUAUGGCUUUGAACAAAAUGUUGACGAGCCUUGUGUUUACAAAAGGUCGUCAAUUCCAUUAUAGCAUUUUUUAGUCUUAUAUGUAGAUGAUAUUCUACUUAUUGGAAAUGACUAGGAUAUCUUCCUGAUAUCAAGAAAUGGCUAGCUAUGCAAUUUCAAAUGAAAGAUCUGGGAGAUGCACAAUACGUUCUCGGAAUCCAAAUUGUUCGAAACCGUAAGAACAAAACACUAGCCAUGUCUCAAGCAUCUUACAUAGACAAAAUGUUGUCUAGAUAUAAAAUGCAGAAUUCCAAAAAGGGUCUGCUGCCGUACAGAUAUGGAAUUCAUUUGUCAAAGGAACAAUGUCCUAAGACACCUCAAGAAGUUGAGGAUAUGAGAAAUAUUCCCUAUGCUUCCGCUGUUGGAAGUUUAAUGUAUGCAAUGUUAUGUACUAGACCUGACAUUUGCUACUCAGUAGGGAUGGUCAGUAGGUAUCAAUCCAAUCAUGGACGUGAUCACUGGACAGCCGUUAAAAACAUUCUACAUGCUCAUGUAUCGUACAAAGGAUCUGAUCCUUACUGGAUACACUGAUUCAGAUUUCCAAACUAAUAAAGAUGUUAGAAAGUCUACAUCAGAAUCAGUAUUUACUCUAAAUGGAGGAGCAGUAGUUUGGAGAAGCAUAAAGCAAACUUGUAUAGCUGAUUCCACAAUGGAAGCUGAUCAUUUUACAAAAGCCCUCAUGGCUAAAGUGUUUGAGGGUCACCUACACAGUUUAGGUGUACGAUGUUUGUAAACUAGGACAAGUGGGAGACUUAUUGGCCAUGUGCCCUAGUUUCAUAUAUAUUCUCUCACACCACAUCUCUCAUACCACUAGGAAUUUUAGUCCAAGUGGGAGUUUGUUGGAAUUUUUUGUCCUAAAACUCGUAGUUUGUAAAUCAUAUUCUAUUCAAUAAAGUUGUUAUUGAGAAAUUAAAUAUUAUAAUCUUAAAUCCAAUAAAUCAAAGUUCCAAGGCUUUUUUUGAAUAAACUUGAACUUUAUGUGUAAACAUAAACGUGGAUCAAGUUCGAGUAUAUAGCCUAAAUAGUCUAUAGUAUAUGAAAUAAAGGUUGGGCGCCUUAUUUUGAGAGACUAUGGAUGCGGCCCACUUUGUAGUACAAACGAUGUGAUCCUAAUCGUUCAUGUAGAGACAUGAAAGUGGGGGCAUCCUAUGUAAAAUGUUUACAUAAGACUGAACCAUGAAUUAGUCAUUUUUACGUUAUAACACCGUUUACUGUUUAAAACUGACUAUCUCAAUUAUUGAUGACCUAGGUAACUUAGUCUUAAUCCUGAGUUAACUAUGAACUCCUGUUCAUACGAGAUUAUCCUUAGAUCUGCAUAGGUGAGGGCAGCUCAUCAGCGUUGGCCCAAUAAGCCUCCCAUUUCAGGGGUAAGAUCGGGUGGAUAGCUGGGAACAUAGGGUACAAGAUGGAAUUCACUCCUACCCGCUUUAGGGUUAGUAGAUAGGUUGCUCUCUUAAGCACUGAAUCCAAGUCUUGAACAAGGGGCCCCACCCUCUCAUUGGCCCGAGAGGGAUUAAGUUUAUAGGUUGAACCUUAAACCAAUUGUUCAAUAGUGGAUUAGUGGGACUUAAGGAGCAAGAUGUAAUCUUGGGGGUAAAACGGUAUUUUGACCCAGCCAAGGUUACGAGCAACCUGUGAAGGAUUAACUUACUGAUUAUGGUUUUAUCAAAUGGACACAAAUAUAUCUAUAGUGAGGGGAGUGCAACUACGGGACUUUAGUGGAAUGACCCGUUAGUUAACGAAUGUUGAUUAACUCGGUUUAAAAGAGUUUAGCUAGUUAAUCUUGAAUCGUUGGAGCCCAUGAUCUAUAGGUCCAUUAGGUUCCUCUGCUAGCUCAUAUGGAUUAAACUUAGAACAGUGUGAUGAAAUAAGUCGAAUUGUUCGAAUAGGGAGAAGAAAGGAAAACCGACAUAUACAGUGAUAUAAUCGUCGGUCUUCUAAUUAGAAAUAGAGCUUUAUGUUUUACAUACUAUAAGUAUGAAUGCGGAUUCAUACUAAGAAGCUCGGAAUUGGUCAAAAAUAGUAAAAAGUCAAAAUGUUGACUUUUGACUUUGAAAAGUCAAACUUUGACCGGCCUUAUAUUCAAAUGUGAUUUGAAUUUUGGAAAAAUGAAUGCGGAUUCAUGCUCGGGAGGUUGGAAUUAGUCAAGACGGACAAAAUGGUAAAAAGUCAAAAUAUUGACUUUUGACUUAGAAAAGUCAAAGUUUGACUUUUGACUAGAAAAAUCUAAUGACCAUUUUACCCUUGGACUAAGUUAGUGGGAAAAUCCAACAUUUUGUUGGAUAAUCCCACUAACUCUUAGUGGGAUAUGUGGCUAUAUGAGAUAUAGACACCUAGCCCACUAAGUUCCACUAAUUGUUAGUGGAAUAUUAGGUGUUGAGAUUUGGCAAUUGAAUUGCAUGCAUUUUUGCAUGUAAUUAGGCUAUAAAUAGAGAUGUUUUCAAAUGUUGAAGGACUUUUGCCUCUUUUAUCAUUUUCAUAAUCUCAACAAAAGAAAAAAGAAAGCUUCCAAUCUCAUUUUAUCUCCAUUACUUUCUACACCAAAAUUGGGUCCCACAACCCGGUUCUUUGUCUAGAGGAUAGCAGUUGAGUACUAGUGGUGGUCUCGGGUAGAAUUGGUAAGAAGACAUCAAACCUUUUGAAAGCUUCAAAGGUAAUACUUCUUAAAACCCUAAUUUGAUUAGUUUAUGGUUACAUGUUAAUUGUGGCAAUUAGGGUAGAAAUUCGAUUCUUUUUCCGCUGUGCAUGACUUAGUUCUAUCAAUACAAUCCUAAGCUAGUUACAUAAAUGUUAUUAGAAUGAAAUUGUCAAUUCAAUAAAUGAUUCUAACUUAGCUUCUGUUAUCUUGCAAUCUAAAACUAACAAUUAUGUAUUAGAUUUAGAUCUAUAACAAUUAAUUAAACAUGCUUGGCAAAUCGCCAGCAUUUCCAAACACACUCAAUCAAAGAAAUAAGUCCAAAGAAAGAAUUCACACUAGAUCAUAAGGUUCCCAAGAUCAAAAUAUUCAAAACAUCAGAAGUGUGUGAAUCAAAAGAUAAGCCUAGAAUCUCAAGAUAGAUAAUAGUAUCUUAGGCAUGAUACAUCCUUGAAAACAUCCAACAAAAAUGAAUGAAAGUCGGCUCGAGUCAAUUCGUCUAAAAGAAUAAAAAGAGUUCGAGAGAAAAUGCCUAAAAUUCAAAUUCAGUGCCAAAAAUGUGUAAGAAUUGUUGGCAACUAGGGUAGUAAUGCUACUUUCAAAAAACUCUAUAGCAUCGCAGCACUACACAACAAAGUCAUAGAGCGUUGAGGUUUUUGCAUGAAAUUGGAUUAUUCUACCUUACGAUGUCGUGCCUUCUUUGCUCCACAUCAAUUUUCUUGUCCCGUUGACAUUCUAAACCUCUAAUUAAUCUCGUUAGGAUAAAAGAUCAUUCAUAAUUUUCUUAUCAAUGAACAACAUUAUUGUGAAAAGAUAUAUCGGUGAUAUAUCGAUUUUUAGGGAAAAAAAAAAGAAAAUAUCUUGUCACUUAUUAUCUCUAUCAGAUACGUGAUUUUACGGUUAUCUAUUGAGAUUUUAAUUUGCUAAUGUGAAUAUUUAUUUUAAUUUUCUUCACAUGAAACAAUAGUAUUCUGGCCACUCCAAGCACAACAGUUCCUUCAAAAAAAUAUAAAAUGAUAUGUAAAUUUUCAAAAUUGACAUCUUAAUUCAGCAAACAAAAAUAGUUGUUUAAAAACUAGACUUAUUUAGUUUACAAAAACUUGCACUAGAUAUCCUCACUUAAUCACUAGUUCUACACCCAAAAUAUAGACUAAAUAACUUCGCAUCUAAUAUACAAAUUUACCAAACUCAACUCCGCAUCUCAAGUGAAAAAAGAUUUCUUUAACCCAAAAGAAGACGUUGGGGCAUUAACUUUUCAAAGUGGAUUUGGCUUCAUAGUAGAAAAUUGGGAGUGAAACAUGAGGCUGAAAAAGGGCUAACAAAGAGAGCGAUCGUCCACGUGGUUGGCAGUCAAGUGGUCUUUAAAGAAGAGGAUGAAGAACUUGUUUCCCAUUGGUCCGAAAUCUAUCCAACACCCUCCUAUUAGAUUUCCCUUCCAGAUUCUCAUCUUCAUGAUUCCUACUUGGCUCCAUUUAAACCCACAAUUCAAUUCACAAUAUCUCCCACACACCCUCUUCUUCAUCAUAUCAUAUAACACAUUCCAUUACAUACCUGAAAUCUCCCAUCUCAAAAACCAUGGCUGCAACUUCUGGUGCUGUGCUUACUGGAUUGGGCUCACCCUUCCUCCGUGGAAGUAGCAGAACUCGGACCUUGCUGGCCGGAGCUAGAGGUAGUGUCAAUGUUGUCAGCUCUAGCAAGCUUGUCAUCGUCGCUGCUGCUCAGCCUAAGAAGUCUUGGCUCCCUGGUGUUAGAGGUGGUGGCAACUUGGUCGACCCAGAAUGGCUUGAUGGCUCGUAUGUUUCUUUUACUUUCUUUAAGUUAGCACAUAGGUUAUUGUUUUGAACCUGCAGUUGGAAGAUAGGAUUUUAGUCCUAGUUUAAGUUACUUUGGACUGGAAUUAAACAGGGGUAGAAAAUUAGGGAACAAAAUUGUUAUCAAACAUGUUCUAAGCAACUGUUGUGGAGAAUUUGGUAUAGGCAUUUUAUCGAACGUUUUUAGAGCAGCAUUCUUGAAAAGAUAUGGGAAAGGCAUUUUAUCAAACGGUUUCUAGGUAAUUACCAUCUAGAAUCUGGCAUAGCAUUUCAUCGAACAUUUUCAAAGCAGUUACUCUUAGCAAUCUAGAACAGUCACUUAAUCAAACAUUUUCUAAGCAACCAUAGUUGAAAACUUUAGAAGAGAUAUUUAAACGAACACUUGCUAAGCAACCAUAGUAAGUUGAUAAGCAAUUACUUGUUCCAUUCGUAGACUUCCAGGUGACUACGGCUUCGACCCAUUGGGUUUGGGGAAGGACCCUGCAUUUUUGAAGUGGUAUAGAGAAGCAGAGCUGAUCCACGGGCGGUGGGCAAUGGCAGCAGUGGUCGGAAUCUUCGUCGGACAAGCCUGGAGUGGAAUCCCAUGGUUCGAAGCCGGAGCAGAUCCAGGCGCAAUUGCUCCAUUCUCCUUCGGAUCACUUCUAGGAACCCAGCUUCUGCUAAUGGGAUGGUUGAAAGCAAACGAUGGGUGGAUUUCUUCAACCAGAAUCUCAAUCGGUGGAAUGGGCUACACCAUGGUCGAGGACGGCAGAGAAUUUCGCAAACGCAACCGGAGAACAAGGGUAUCCCGGAGGAAAAUUCUUCGAUCCAUUGGGAUUUGCAGGAACUCUUAAAGAUGGGGUUUACAUUGCAGACACGGAGAAAUUGGAGAGAUUGAAGUUG
RNAcentral lists this long non-coding RNA (38118 nucleotides) under Cucumis sativus (cucumber). RNAcentral's name for it is "long non-coding RNA (CSAT_LNC000165)". The record is from RNAcentral. Lineage: Eukaryota; Viridiplantae; Streptophyta; Magnoliopsida; Cucurbitales; Cucurbitaceae.